UGGACAUAUCACGUUGAAACACGGGUCCUCGCACGAUCACCGAAGUUAAGCAACGGCGAGCCUAGUUAGCACCUUGAUGGGUGAUUUCUCGCGAAUUCCAGGUACUGUAAG
Non-coding RNA from Acanthosepion pharaonis, 111 nucleotides. The record is from the annotation of a GenBank genome assembly. NCBI's taxonomy places the organism in Eukaryota, Metazoa, Mollusca, Cephalopoda, Sepiida, Sepiidae.